UACGUAGGUGACAAGCGUUGUCCGGAUUUACUGGGCGUAAAGAGCGCGCAGGCGGUCGUUCAAGUCGAGUGUGAAAGCCCCCGGCUCAACUGGGGAGGGUCACUCGAUACUGAUCGACUCGAAGGCAGGAGAGGGUAGUGGAAUUCCCGGUGUAGUGGUGAAAUGCGCAGAUAUCAGGAGGAACACCGGUGGCGAAGGCGGGUCUCUGGGCCGAUACUGACGCUGAGGAGCGAAAGCGUGGGGAGCGAACAGG
This 253-nucleotide ribosomal RNA is filed under the name uncultured bacterium. Its description in RNAcentral is "partial 16S ribosomal RNA". It matches the Rfam family "Bacterial small subunit ribosomal RNA", at positions 524 to 776 of the family's 1533-position model. The record is from RNAcentral.